CGGGAAAUAGCUCAGCCUGGUAGAGCACUGCCUUCGGGAGGCAGGGGCCGGAGGUUCGAAUCCUCUUUUCCCGACCA
RNAcentral lists this transfer RNA (77 nucleotides) under Sphingorhabdus lacus. RNAcentral's name for it is "tRNA-Pro". It matches the Rfam family "tRNA". Rfam says of the family: Transfer RNA (tRNA) molecules are approximately 80 nucleotides in length. Their secondary structure includes four short double-helical elements and three loops (D, anti-codon, and T loops). The record is from RNAcentral. RNAcentral also lists the same sequence under 5 other names. Lineage: Bacteria; Pseudomonadati; Pseudomonadota; Alphaproteobacteria; Sphingomonadales; Sphingorhabdaceae.